RNAcentral lists this long non-coding RNA (338 nucleotides) under Ananas comosus (pineapple). Its description in RNAcentral is "long non-coding RNA (ACOM_LNC030783)". Lineage: Eukaryota; Viridiplantae; Streptophyta; Magnoliopsida; Poales; Bromeliaceae. The record is from RNAcentral.
AUUUAAUCAUUCUUUAUAAAUUUCUGUUAAUUUUAAAAAAGUAAUAAAAUAAAAAUUAGUAAAACUAGUAAGAAAAAGUUAUUAGAUUAGAAUUUUUUGUUGGAUUAUAAUCUAAAACAGAUUUAGACCUAACAUUUCAACAUAAAAUAUACUUGUAGGUAAUAGUUUCAAAAUUAGAUGCAGCAUGGCCGCUGAGCUGAUCCAUUACAAUAAGAGACUGUUUGGUUGCAUAUAGUUAUAAUUAUAUUGCAGUUGUAAUUACAUAUAAACUCAAAUUGGGUAUUUGGUUUUAUGUAUUUGAAUUUAGUUGCUGCAGUUGGCAUUGCAUUAGGAGAUCC